AACUGACUUGCUAUGCCUUUUUGAUAAAUUAUUGAAUUUAUAUUAAGUUUUAAUUAUCUGGUUUAAUGGUAUAUAAUUAAUGUGAUAUUAAGUAUAAUAAUUUCUGAGUGUAUAGUUUAAACAAGAAUUAGAUACUCUUUUAUACAUAAAAAAAAUUUUUAAUUUUCAGUUUUAACUGAAAGAUUUUGACAGCUGAUUAUAUCCUUUUGGGGGAACGUGUUCAAUAAUAGAUGGUCCACUAAGUAGUGUACCUUCUUUAUAGUUGGUGUAUAUCCGGUUUUUAUGGAAUUUAUAAGAAUUUCAUGUAGUUAUAUUUAUUAAUCCAGGUCAAUAUGCUGCUUAUAAGAAGGUGAUAAUGCGUUACAUUUUAAAUAAUUAUCCGUAAUUGGUUUAGAUUAUAUUUAGGACUCAAUAGUAUUAUAAAAUAAUUGUUUAUGAGAAUUAGGUUUAAUUGGGGUACACAUCGCCCGUCACCUUCGAUAUUUAGUU
This 489-nucleotide ribosomal RNA is filed under the name Sphyranura oligorchis. Its description in RNAcentral is "partial 12S ribosomal RNA". The record is from RNAcentral. Lineage: Eukaryota; Metazoa; Platyhelminthes; Monogenea; Polystomatidea; Sphyranuridae.